Molecule: long non-coding RNA, 3952 nt
Organism: Siniperca chuatsi (mandarin fish)
Lineage: Eukaryota; Metazoa; Chordata; Actinopteri; Centrarchiformes; Sinipercidae
Exons: 2
Source: RefSeq, a predicted model, not a curated record
GGAGAAAGGGAACAUGAAAUGACAGUGGAUCAUUAGACUGGGAUUGCCUGCAGCUUGCUAAUUUAUGCAAAUUAAUUUCUUGGCUGAUGUGAAAGGAGAGGGAGCGGGUGCCACUGCUUGGCAAGAAGUCAACAUCGAGCAGCGAAAAGGUUAACUGCUGCACUCUGCUUUGGUGGUCUGGAAAGUUUAGCAGCAUAAGCCAGGGAUGGCUGUGGUAUACCAAGCAACAAUGACAAAGCAACGCAAACUAUGCCAGCCCUCUUCCUGGCAAGGCGGGUAGACAGACAGCCAAUCAGGUCCGUGUUGGCUCUCUCAUAGGCGAAUGGCAUGGCAUGCUGGCCCUCUCGUCGCCCCGCCUCCCCUCCUCACUGCACUGCAGCUGCCCAGAAUGAUUUUAUAAACAUUUUGCCAGUGGAUCAAUACCUGUAUUGAUCAACCAUUGUGAGAGUGAUCCGUCUAAAACCCAGAGCAGCCUAGAGCUCAGAGAUGGGAGGAGCGAAAGAGAGAAGCUGCAGAGAGGAUGGAGAAAGAGAGAGAGUCUGCAGCCACAGUGAAAGGGAGAAGAGGUACAAGGGAAGAGAAGCGAAUCUGAGAGAGAAGCAGACGCAGAGCUGAAGGCAGGUGUGGAGGCAGGUUUCGGACAACGCUGCCAGGCCACUGGGAUUGGGGAGGAACCUAUGAAAAAAACUACCUCUGAACAAAAGUAGCUGGAGUGUCAAAGAUCUGCUGUAUGCCUUGGUGACAACAUGGGACAGAGAAGGCCCAGCACAUACUGCGCUCAUGAGUUCAGUUGCUAUAGUUAAAUCAAAAGCGGAAAUUCCUGAGAAAAUCAAAGACCGCAAGGAAUAGCCUGCAUCCUGGAUACAAACAUUCAUGGAGGAAGUAACAGGAACAUUUCUGAUCAAGGCAAAGGUGAAUAUAUAAUCCAAAACUGAUUUCAAAUUCAAAGAUGAAAAUGGCGGCAAGACGGUAGUGUAAACUGUGGCAAAUAAGAGAUUAUUGCUAUUUUGAACUGAUUUGGAUAAAGCUAGCUUUGGGAUGUUUUUAGACAUUUUGACAAGUCAUUGGAUUGGAUUAAAUUUUUAUUCUAUUUUGAAUUUUGUUGGAAUUUUACUGAACAGACGACUGACUGGGCCACUCAACAACAGCAUUGAAUGUUUGAUUCAAGGCCCCAUGCUGUGCUGCACUGGAGGAGGAGUCAAAAUGCUUUUGGGAUCAUCCUACCAAUGCUAAAGGGAAAUCAAGUUUCCAAUGAUUGAUUUUAAAUGUGACUUCCUUGUGCAUCAUUUUGGAUUCCUCAUUGUGGAUGAGGGAAGAUAUAUUCCUCCAAACUGUGGGGGAGGACCUUGAUGCUCAUAAACUCACUUUGCACUGGUGCUCUGGUGUGGGAGCACUCAGAGAAAAAGGCUUGCACUCUAAAGGUUCACUCUUCUGUAAACAUGCAGUUGAAUGAAAAGAAAAGAAUAAACAUUCUGUACCAAGGACAUGAAGUACCUACAUACAGUUUUGCCUAAUAAACUGUAAAACAAAUGAAACAUUAUUGUGCGGUAGACAAUGCAAAUCGCUCUCUAAGUGUGUGGUAGUACAUAUCCUUGGCUGUGUCCCAAUUCCACACUGCAUACUAAUACAAUAAUAAUGCACUGUGUAUGUUUAAUAGUAUACUGUUUUGACAGUUAGUAUACAAGAAAUGAAUGACAGGAAAUGAUAGAAUGAAGAUGGUCGUCAACAGACUUCAAUUAAACUGUGAUUUCUGGAACUCUACUGCCAUUUUCAAAAAAAUGGCAGUAGAAAAACAACAAGAACAUCAAAUGUUUCACAAAGAUUUAAUUUCUUCAUUGAUUUACUUAUUUUUUGUGUUGUUUUGUGUUUUGAGAUGUUCCUAAAGGUGUCUCACCACCGUCCACAUGCCACACUGAAAAAAAAUUAUAACGUAUCGUGUAUGAAUGUUUGCUGUUUUAGUGUAUUUUAUGACUAUUCCAAUGUAAACAAACUAUACUUAGAACUCAAAGCUCAAUAUAAAUUAAUAUAUAUUGUGGAAUUGUGACACAGCGCUUGACUCAGAGUUAUGUACUUGUACUUCACUUGAGCUCAACUCGUAAGAAGAAUGUAGCUCAGGCACAGUGCAAGUAAUGGUAACCAGGGAGACUCAUUUGGUGUUUAAGUGAAGACAUGAAGAUAAAUAUUACAGAACAAACCUGCUUGUAUCAAAGUUGUUCACAACACACAGAUUAUGUGCUCAGUGCAGCAACAACAAACAUGAAUUUUUGUUACUAUCACUGACUGGUAAACUACAUUGAGUUUAUCAGUUGCAGAAUGCUCUUUCAGCUCAAGGAUGAAUAGAGUUGCAUAGAGAGGAGAAAAACAGCCAAUGGUCACAGGUCCGACAUCUGAUCCAGAUUCAUGAAAACCUGAUCAGAUGUGGAUUAACAUAAACAAAUGUGCCCACAAUAUACUAUAUGAUCGUCAAGGGACCCAAAUAUAGGUAAAAUGCAAUGUUAUUAAGCAAACACAAAAUAUUACAUUUACUAAAGAGAAACCUUUAUAUUUUAUACUACUGAAAUGAGGGGCUAUAUCAAUUGUUAAUCUCAUUGUGUAUGUCACUGUAAUCUAGCACUGAUGAAAGAAAACCAGUGGUCUAAAUCAGUUUGUGCCAUAAAUGAACCAAGCUGCAAAAUUCAAGUCAAAGGCUCACAUUGUAUAAACAGUGUUGAAGCUAAAUAUGGCUGCCAGUCCUCUCAGCCAUGCUCUCAUCUGUUUAGGUUUUGUUUCGGUCAGUAUAUUGAUAUCUUGAAUUGAGUGUGCUAUCUAUUUAUGGAUACUAAAUUGCUACAUAUAGCACCUUCAUCGAGAGCAGUUUCUGAGUUUUUUGUGUAUUAUUUACCACCAGUAUAUGUGGUCAGUACAUUAAAAGUUAUAGAGAAUUAGGCCCAUUAUUUUUGCCCAUUAGGACAAAUAACCAAAUGGCGGAAUAGUUUUAAACACUAAUACUAAACAUUCAAUGGAUUUUACAAAUAUUGGUGCCUUACUAUUGUCUAUAUCAGUUUAAUUUCAAGGAAAUAAACACUUAAGUCUUAAAGCUUAAGUGUUAUCACCUUACACAAAGAAUUCAUGCGCUAUCAAAGCAGCACUGAGACACUGAAUCAUUUUCUUGUUUCCUUUCAUCCUUUUUGUUUGAUUCCUACUCUCAAAAACAAACCUUUGGAUGAGUGCCAAACCAUAAAUUAGGAUCUUCAUUAGACACAUCAAAUCUAAAUUACUUUUCAAUUAACAGGCCAGUCAGCCUGAACUAAUCAACCAAUUAGGCCAUGUGUGUUCACAGAAAAGCUAACAAAAGCGCAUGAGUCCCCUGGGAAAGCAGUAAAACACUGCAGAAGAGUGACAGUGCAAAUGAGAAGCUACUGGUUCAGGAAAGAAAGGCCAGAUCAGAAAGUGGCAGAAGAUACAUGAGACACCAAGAUCACAUCACUAUUCACCCCUGUCAUUUUUUGGGAAAUGAAAUGUCAAGUUAUAAAAAAUAAUUAAAACUGAAAGAAAGUGUGAAAGAACAGAUUCUCAAAGAAAGGGAUACAUUUGAAACAAAAGAAUUUCUAAGAGCUUUGAUCAAUUUGCAUUGUUUAAUGGGUAUACUGCCAGGUUAAUGUUUGUGACCAAUAUUUGUAUGCUAAUGAGUUUUGAUUGAAAGGCAUAUUGUUCCUCUGAUGAUAACUUACAUUGUGUUAAAGCAUCAGCUGGCACUGUUACAAACUAAAUAAACACUGGGCACAAAAACAUAAACUGCUCCUAAACCUAAACAGUCUGUUUAACUUAAUUUGAUUAAGGAAAUUGUAUCAAUGCAGGUAAUGCAUUUCUUUUUCAUGAUUAUCAUGAUAUGGAACAAAAUAUACGUUUUAUAUUUAUAUAUAUAUUGUUUUUCUGCAGAUCGAACAGAAUAUGAUGGUGUGUAGUGACUGUA